Molecule: long non-coding RNA, 325 nt
Organism: Mizuhopecten yessoensis (Yesso scallop)
Lineage: Eukaryota; Metazoa; Mollusca; Bivalvia; Pectinida; Pectinidae
Exons: 4
Source: RefSeq, a predicted model, not a curated record
CCGUGUGAUUCUUGACCAACUGGACAAUGACCCUCAUUCAGACUAUAUCAACGCAAACUACAUUGAUAGUGUCACCUCACCUGCGGAGUAUAUUGCAACGCAAGGCCCGACGGACAAAACCGUAGAUGACCUGUGGCGUAUGCUCUGGCAGCUUAAAUCUGGGAAAGUCGUCAUGCUGACCAAAUUGAUUGAAGGAACAAAGAAAAAGUGUGCAAAAUAUUGGCCUGAGGAGGGAGAACCAAUGUCUACAAAACAUUUCGAUAUCGUCCUGGACAGAGAAAGGGUCUACGCUUUCUAUGUGAUUCGGGAUAUCAUUAUCACAGAA